GACGAACGCUGGCGGCGUGCUUAACACAUGCAAGUCGAACGGAAAGGCCCUGCUUUUGUGGGGUGCUCGAGUGGCGAACGGGUGAGUAACACGUGAGUAACCUGCCCUUGACUUUGGGAUAACUUCAGGAAACUGGGGCUAAUACCGGAUAGGAUCUCCUGCUGCAGGGUGGGGGUUGGAAAGUUUCGGCGGUUGGGGAUGGACUCGCGGCUUAUCAGCUUGUUGGUGGGGUAGUGGCUUACCAAGGCUUUGACGGGUAGCCGGCCUGAGAGGGUGACCGGCCACAUUGGGACUGCGAUACGGCCCAGACUCGUACGGGAGGCAGCAGGCGGGAAUAUUGCACAAUGGGCGGAAGCCUGAUGCAGCAACGCCGCGUGCGGGAUGACGGCCUUCGGGUUGAAAACCGCUUUCGCCUGUGACGAAGCGUGAGUGACGGUAAUGGGUAAAGAAGCACCGGCUAACUACGUG
Molecule: ribosomal RNA, 468 nt
Filed under: uncultured bacterium
Lineage: Bacteria
Description: partial 16S ribosomal RNA
Rfam family: Bacterial small subunit ribosomal RNA
Source: RNAcentral